RNAcentral lists this ribosomal RNA (277 nucleotides) under uncultured bacterium. RNAcentral describes it as "partial 16S ribosomal RNA". It matches the Rfam family "Bacterial small subunit ribosomal RNA", at positions 355 to 628 of the family's 1533-position model. The record is from RNAcentral.
UGAGGAAUAUUGGGACAAUGGAGGCAACUCUGAUCCAGCCAUGCCGCGUGAAGGACUAAGGCCCUAUGGGCUGUAAACUUCUUUAGACGCAGAGCAAUAAGGUCCACGCGUGGAUCGAUGAGAGUAUGCGUAGAAUAAGCAUCGGCUAACUCCGUGCCAGCAGCCGCGGUAAUACGGGGGAUGCAAGCGUUAUCCGGAUUCAUUGGGUUUAAAGGGUGCGUAGGCGGCUUGGCAAGUCAGCGGUGAAAGGCCCGGGCUCAACCCGGAAAGUGCCGUU